Medicago truncatula (barrel medic) is the source of this 413-nucleotide long non-coding RNA. RefSeq lists it as uncharacterized. The transcript has 3 exons. The record is from RefSeq and is a predicted model, not a curated record. Lineage: Eukaryota; Viridiplantae; Streptophyta; Magnoliopsida; Fabales; Fabaceae.
AGAAAAAAAAAAAAAAAAAAAAAAAAACAUAACACACAUAACUUUCCCUUUCCAUUCUCCUCUCACUUCCGUUAGCUCUCUGUCCCUCAUUCCUCUUCUUCCAUUUCUUUUUCCUUCCUUUCCCAAAUCAAUCAUCCUUAAGAAUAAUUGGUCAUCUAAGUAAAGCAACUUCAUAUUCAAGCUCUAUCGGUAGAAUUUUGGGGGUUAGGGUUUGUGCUUUGAAGUAGAAGGAGAAUACCCAUAUUGUGAGAGUUGCUCAUUGAGACUCUUUGAGAUUCGGUGGAAAUUUCUCCGGUGGUCAUUCAGAAAGGCAUCACUAGGAAUUGAGUUCUUUCGUCAUAUCUAUUCAAAGUCAAUUGUGUAGAAAGCUUCUAGCAGGGUUAAGGAUCUAUCAAUGUCACUCUUUUGGUAGG